This 436-nucleotide ribosomal RNA is filed under the name uncultured bacterium. RNAcentral's name for it is "partial 16S ribosomal RNA". It matches the Rfam family "Bacterial small subunit ribosomal RNA", at positions 29 to 507 of the family's 1533-position model. The record is from RNAcentral.
AGCGAACGCUGGCGGCAGGCUUAACACAUGCAAGUCGAGCGGGCAUCCUUGUGGUGUCAGCGGCAGACGGGUGAGUAACGCGUGGGAACGUGCCCUUCGGUUCGGAAUAACUCAGGGAAACUUGAGCUAAUACCGGAUACGUGCGAGAGCAGAAAGGUUUAUCUGCCGAAGGAUCGGCCCGCGUCUGAUUAGCUAGUUGGUGAGGUUACGGCUCACAAGGCGACGAUCAGUAGCUGGUCUGAGAGGAUGAUCAGCCACACUGGGACUGAGACACGGCCCAGACUCCUACGGGAGGCAGCAGUGGGGAAUAUUGGACAAUGGGGGCAACCCUGAUCCAGCCAUGCCGCGUGAGUGAUGACGGCCUUAGGGUUGUAAAGCUCUUUUCUCCGGGACGAUAAUGACGGUACCGGAGGAAUAAGCCCCGGCUAACUUCGUG